CAGCGCCCCGCCUGCCCCCAGCGCCCAGAUGCCAGCUCCCGUCCCCAGCGCCUGCCCCCCAGCUCUCAGAUCCCAGCUCCCGAGCCCGCUCCCGCCUCGGCCCCAGGCUCCUUGGCCGCAGGAAACACCCCAUGUCGAGCCAGACGUGGGCUAGGAGCGGAAGUGUAGCCCCAUCUUCACUGCUGAAAACAGCUUCGUCUUCACGGGGCAGAGAUACCCGACGGUGACUUGGACAGCGACGGUCUUGAGGUUGGAAAGAGGUGCUCCCGCCUUACUCUGCAGCCGCACCCGUGUUCCCGCAACUCCCAUGGACUGACUGGAGGGCUGUCUGCUUCACCUGGCAGGUCCCAGCCUCGGGGUGAAAGGAAUCAGGACACCCCCCCGCCCCCCGGCGUCCAGGGCCGAAGUCAGUCAGUCAGCCUGUGCAGGGCCCCCGCCCCACGGGGCUGGUCACAGCUUGAUGAUAGAGCUGGCCCUGCCCCUGGUGGCUUCUGUCCUGCGCUGCUGGGCACACAUCAACGUGCAGGCUGAACGGUGGGUCUGCCUCUGGACCGUCCUGGUGAGGGUUGUUCAUGCCCUCGUUUACACUCCAUAACCCCCAUGUUGCCACCCAGGUACCACCUGGGCAAGCAGACGGGGGUCUCUGUGCAGAAGCGGGAAUUCCUGCAGUGCCAAGUUGUCACUGUGACAAAGCACAGGAACCCGAGGGCAGGCUGUUAAGAGACUAGAGAAGGAGGAGGGAACAAAACUGGGGGCAGGGCUGGGAGCUGCCAGGAUGGAUACCAUGGGGCUGCGGGAGCUGUGGGUGGGAGUGGGGGACGUCCACCGUGGCGUCAGGGCCCAGAUGGGGGGAUGCCCACUUAGGUUAGGGCCCAGGUCGGGGGGAUGUCCUGAGUGAGGUCAGGGCCCAAAUGGGGGGACAUCCACAUAGGUCAGGGCCCAGAUGGGGGGAUGUCCAGAGUGAGGUAAGGGCCCAGAUGGGGGGACAUCCAGAAUGAGGUCAGGGCCCAGAUGGGUGGACAUUCACAGUGAGAUGAGGGCCCAGGUGGGGGGUGAGGGGUGAUGCAGGUUCCCCUGACUCUCCACUCCAGGCCCUCUGCCUCAUGGGCACCCCUCACCUUUACCUGGGUCCCCUCUCCACCAUGUGAUGCUCUACUGGGAGGAGGAUAUCAUGAGUUUUUGUCUAUAUCCCCAAAAGUACACUGGAAUGUCCUGAAGCUGCAUUGUCCUCCCUGAGGUUGCUCCGUCAUCAGAAUGGGAUGUACAGGUUGUCACAUCGAUUUGAACCCAUAGCAGUUACUCUCAUUCCUUGAUGGAAUAUUACUCAGCCAUGAAAAGCAAUGAAGUUCCAACACUUGCUUACAAAGUGGGUGAACCCUGAGGACACAAUGCUCAGCGAGAGAAGCCAGUCACAAAAGUCACGCUUUUUUUAAAGAAACUUUUUAUUAUAGUUGAUUUACAAUGUCCUCUCAAUUUUUGCUGUACAGCCAAGUGAAAACCCACAUUUUCUUGAUUCCGUUUAAUAUGAGCCAUCCAGAGCAGAUAAAUCCAUGGAGACAGAAGCAAUCUGGUGUUUUCAGGCGGAGGGGCGAGGACACUGAGAGUGAUUAACGGGACAGGGUCUCCUCCAGGGGGAUAAGGAUGUGCUGGAACCAGAUAGAGGUGGUGCUGGCACAACACUGGGAAUGGGCUAAAUGCCCCCAAAUUGUUCUCUUUAACACAAAACAAUUUUUAACAAUAAAAAACCCACACCAAGG
Molecule: non-coding RNA, 1757 nt
Organism: Sus scrofa (pig)
Lineage: Eukaryota; Metazoa; Chordata; Mammalia; Artiodactyla; Suidae
Source: RefSeq, a predicted model, not a curated record